GACGAACGCUGGCGGCGUGCCUAACACAUGCAAGUCGAACGGGGUGAUUCCUUCGGGGAUCACUUAGUGGCGAACGGGUGAGUAACGCGUGAGAAACCUGCCUUCCAGUGGGGGACAACAGUUAGAAAUGACUGCUAAUACCGCAUAAUGUUUCGAGGGGCAUCCCUUGAAAACCAAAGCUUUAUGUGCUGGAAGAUGGUCUCGCGUCUGAUUAGCUAGAUGGCGGGGUAACGGCCCACCAUGGCGACGACCAGUAGCCGGUCUGGGAGGAUGAACGGCCACAUUGGGACUGAGAUACGGCCCAG
This 305-nucleotide ribosomal RNA is filed under the name uncultured bacterium. RNAcentral's name for it is "bacterial SSU rRNA". It matches the Rfam family "Bacterial small subunit ribosomal RNA", at positions 28 to 334 of the family's 1533-position model. The record is from RNAcentral.